GAAGAUAUGACGGUACUUGAGGAAUAAGCCACGGCUAAUUCCGUGCCAGCAGCCGCGGUAAUACGGGAGUGGCAAGCGUUAUCCGGAAUUAUUGGGCGUAAAGCGUCCGCAGGCGGCUUUUCAAGUCUGCUGUUAAAGCGUGGAGCUUAACUCCAUCAUGGCAGUGGAAACUGAAAGGCUUGAGUAUGGUAGGGGCAGAGGGAAUUCCCGGUGUAGCGGUGAAAUGCGUAGAUAUCGGGAAGAACACCAGUGGCGAAGGCGCUCUGCUGGGCCAUUACUGACGCUCAUGGACGAAAGCCAGGGGAGCGAAAGGGAUUAGAUACCCCUGUAGUCCUGGCCGUAAACGAUGAACACUAGGUGUCGGGGGAAUCGACCCCUUCGGUGUCGUAGCUAACGCGUUAAGUGUUCCGCCUGGGGAGUACGCACGCAAGUGUGAAACUCAAAGGAAUUGACGGGGGCCCGCACAAGCGGUGGAGUAUGUGGUUUAAUUCGAUGCAACGCGAAGAACCUUACCAGGGUUUGACAUCCUGCGAACCUCUUAGAAAUUUGAGGGUGCCUUCGGGAAUGCAGUGACAGGUGGUGCAUGGCUGUCGUCAGCUCGUGUCGUGAGAUGUUGGGUUAAGUCCCGCAACGAGCGCAACCCACGUUUUUAGUUGCCAGCAUUUAGUUGGGCACUCUAGAAAGACCGCCGGUGAUAAACCGGAGGAAGGUGUGGAUGACGUCAAGUCAUCAUGCCCCUUACACCCUGGGCUACACACGUACUACAAUGCUACGGACAAAGGGCAGCAAACUCGCGAGAGCUAGCAAAUCCCAUAAACCGUGGCUCAGUUCAGAUC
RNAcentral lists this ribosomal RNA (836 nucleotides) under marine metagenome. RNAcentral's name for it is "bacterial SSU rRNA". It matches the Rfam family "Bacterial small subunit ribosomal RNA", at positions 463 to 1299 of the family's 1533-position model. The record is from RNAcentral.